Long non-coding RNA from Acipenser ruthenus (sterlet), 435 nucleotides. RefSeq lists it as uncharacterized. The record is from RefSeq and is a predicted model, not a curated record. The transcript has 3 exons. Lineage: Eukaryota; Metazoa; Chordata; Actinopteri; Acipenseriformes; Acipenseridae.
UCUAGUGAGAAAUGUGUUGCACUCGUAUAGACUAACGGUAUACUUGAUCCCCAAUAACAACACUUGCACGGUCCCUACAGAAUUCAGAUUCAGAUGUCCGCUUAUUGUGAAUUUCUGCAUCGAAAGUGGCAUCUCACUAGAAACUAGAGGACUGAACACACGCUGUUGAUGGGCGGAGUUUCAAAUGACACCAAGGAAGUAAGGGGAAAAGCUGCCAUGGAUGCUGAAUCUGUAUCUUCAGGUGGACUGCUGUCUUCACUUAGAAAGUUGGUGUUGUACCCGUAUCUGGAGUUCCAUCCUCACAUAUAUUAAAGGAAAUAGGUGGAAUGUCACUCAUUUUUGGCACUGGUUUUGUAACUAAUAACAAGUGGUGCGUAGCGAUUUAUUCAGUGUGAUGCAGCUCAUUAGUAUGCAAGCCAUGGUAUACGCUAUAUA